This is a long non-coding RNA of Carassius auratus (goldfish), 1137 nucleotides long. RefSeq lists it as uncharacterized. The record is from RefSeq and is a predicted model, not a curated record. NCBI's taxonomy places the organism in Eukaryota, Metazoa, Chordata, Actinopteri, Cypriniformes, Cyprinidae. The transcript is spliced from 6 exons.
AACACUUUUAUUUCGCACCACAAAGCCAUUAACAUAAACUAGUGAAGAAAUUAGACAUCAUGUCUGAUCGCACUGUUAAAUAUAUUUAAAUAUAUUUUGAAAACACUUGAUGGUCACGCGCUGUACUGGAGUCACCAUGGAAACGGGGCUCAGCUCAACCGUCAAGCAGCUGAACAGACGCUGUCUCUCAUGGUUGUUUUCACUAAUUUCAGUUUAUAGAAAUGGUCAGUGUCUUCAUGAAAAGUCCGUUAGCAUCUCAACUGUAAUGCUAACUACAAGAGAUUCUUCCAUGCUGAUGGCCGUGCCUGUAUCCAGCUGAAGAACAUUUUUAGACAUUAUGAAACAUAUAACUAAGACUGAAAAUCAUUGAUAAACCACAAGCUCCAACCCCAGUUAAGCAGACCUGAGCAGCCGAUCAAGGAUCAGCAGAAACUCUGCAGAACGGUGGUCCUCCAGCCCAGGACUGGACACCAGUGUUAUGCUGCAGAAAAAAGAGCGAGGCUAAAGCAUUCAAAGUGGAAACAUCUGCCGUGGCUCAUUAAUCCAGAAUUGGGAUGGAGGAAGAAGCAGAAGAUCAGAGAUCAGGCAGAGAUCUACUGGUGCCCCUGUGGGAACCCCAUUUACCUAAUGUGUUAGUUUAACCAAAGAUUUUCCUCACUCACCUUUAUGUUGUUCCAAACCAGACUUUUGUUCAUCCUUGAAACAUAAAUGCGGAACUUUUUAAUGAAAUCUGAGAUUAUUUUCUUUAUAUAAAAUAACACAUUCACACAAGCACCAUGAUGCAUCAGUGUUGCAUUGGCGUGAGAGCUGGCGCUUUUGGUGCUUUUGUGAAAAUCCAUUGGGGAGUCAUAAUUUCUGAAUAGAUUAUUUUUGCUGUUGUUAUUGUUUGUUUGUUUUUUUUAGUACACAAGGCAUCUGUUAAAAAAAUAUCUUAAUUUGUGUUCUGCACAAAAGGGUGUUAUGGGUUUGGGGCAACAUGAGGGUAAGUAAUUAAUGACAGAAUUAAAAUUUUUGGUUGUUCUAAUGUGGUUAUAAUUGGUCAUAGUUUAUUUGUCUUGAAAAAAUAUAUUUAUACAGAAACAUGGAUUAAUUUGAUAAGUUUAUAGUAAAGCCUUUUAAAUUGAUAAAAAAAAAAAA